This 261-nucleotide non-coding RNA is filed under the name Roseburia sp. RNAcentral's name for it is "T-box sequence". It matches the Rfam family "T-box leader". Rfam says of the family: Uncharged tRNA acts as the effector for transcription antitermination of genes in the T-box leader family. T-boxes are found upstream of many aminoacyl-tRNA synthetase genes and some amino acid biosynthetic genes usually in Gram-positive bacteria. The anticodon of a specific tRNA base pairs to a specifier sequence within the T-box motif, and the NCCA acceptor tail of the tRNA base pairs to a conserved bulge in the T-box antiterminator hairpin. The record is from RNAcentral. Lineage: Bacteria; Bacillati; Bacillota; Clostridia; Lachnospirales; Lachnospiraceae.
AGAAAACCGAUGAGAAAGAGAAGUAAGCUUAUCUGGACAUCACAGAGAGCUGCAGGUGGUGUGAUGCAGCAUGAAAGGAUUUGCUGAAUGGACUUUUGAGGGCGGCUUGAAAAAGAAGCAGAUUGCAUUUAGUAGGUGUCGCCGGGAACCGAACCCGUUAUCAAUUCGGCACAUAUGGAUGUAUGUGACAGAGUGGACAAUUCAUUGUCAAUUUGAGUGGUACCGCGAUAAGAGAGCAAAGGCUUUAUUACCGUCUCAGGA